Sinocyclocheilus grahami is the source of this 2851-nucleotide long non-coding RNA. Lineage: Eukaryota; Metazoa; Chordata; Actinopteri; Cypriniformes; Cyprinidae. The record is from Ensembl.
UGUGUGUGUAUGUUAGACCAGUUUAUGUGUGUAUGUAGGAUGUUAGACCAGUUUAUGUGUGUAUGUCAGGAUGUUAGACCAGUUUAUGUGUUUAUGUAGUAUGUUAGACUAGUUUAAGGAGGAGGAGAUGCGCAGGAGGAACAAAGAGCUGGAGGAGGCGCAGCAGGGGCUGCAGGGAAGGAAGGAGGACUAUCAGAGGGAUCUAGAGAGACUGAGGGAUGCUCAGAGGAGGCUGGAGAGGGAGAGGGAGCAGCUGCAGAGGGAGGCGGAGAGAGUGGAGCACCUCCGCGAGGUGGAGGCUCGGCUUCAGCGCACACCCUCCAGCACAUCAGAGGACUCCCUGAAGCUCCAGAGCAGCAGCUCCAUCGAGCGAGAGAUCUUGGAGGGCGAGUUAUCGUCCAGCCCCAGGAAGAACUCUCUGUCCAGGAUGGACUCCAAACAGAAGGGCCGCAGCCUCUUCUCCCUGGUCGGCAAAACUCAGAGCUUAGAAGGACAACACCAGAUCCCCACACGACUGCUUCAGCUGGCUUCAUCCAAGGAGAAGAAGGACAAAAAGAAGAAGAAGAGCAAGAGCCAGCCUCCUCAGGAUGCAGGUGAACACAGUGAACACACACACGUUAAUUCAAUAGAGAUAAUGAUAAAGAAUUGAUUCAAUUAGCCUGCAAACCACAACCGCCGUAUCCGUUCUGACUGGAAUUGGUGGUAAGUUCUCUGUCGCAGAACGUCACAUGUUUCCAGAAGGAAGGGGUUUGCUUUUGAAGGUCUGAUAGGAUUUUUGAUCCGAGUCGCGUGUUAUGUAUCAAUCUCAGAUGUUUAUUACACUGAGAAAGAUGUCUGUAUUUCCUCCUCAAAUCUUGCUGUUUUUUUGUCUCCAGCAUCACAUCUGCUGCCCCUGACAGAGCCUUCAGUGGACGGGGAGAUCUUCUUCUGCUGAUUUACCCAUCAUCCCUUCUGUCCACAUCAUUCCCUUUCAUGGACUCUCUAUCAAAUCAUGUAGGAAGUCACCUAAAGUGCCCUCUUCACAUUUUGGCAAUCUCUCUACAAUAUAAUACAUCUCACAGACACAGAACAUGUCCAGGUUGCAUUACACCCCAAAAUCAAAAGAAAAAUUAUAUUUUGCCUAACCCAAAUCAAUACUAUUCUAGAAUUGUUUUUAUUUUUUGUGACAUUAUUUUACUAACACUUUAGCCCCCAAAUUUUCAUUACCGUAAUGUAUGAAUAGUAGUAAUAUAUUAUUUCAAUUGUAAAGUAUUUAUAUACUACGGUAAAUGUUUUUCUGCUUUUAAAUAAUGUUUUAUUACAGUAGUUUUUGCUGUAAUAAAGUUUUCUCCAUCACAGUAAUGAGAAUAACCAUUGGGAAUAAUAAUUAGUGAUUAUUAUAUAAAAAAAAAACCCUCAUGUUGCAUUAUGGUAAUGGCUAUAUAUAUAUAUAUAUAUAUAUUCCCAUUACCAUUAUGCAUCAUGAUUUUUUUCCCCCAGACAACAUAUCGCAACAUAUAAAAUCUUAUAUUUGCACUUGCUUUCAAAUGUUUAUCAGACAAAUCCCAUCUUUGAAUACUUGUUAAAAUGUGCAUUGUAUAUACAUUUCAAUUACUGCACUCAUUUAUAAAUGAACUGUGCCACCAAAAACUUUCAAAAUACAAAACUGGGGAUUGUUGCUCCCCCUACUGGCCAACUUUUUUAGGCUGAAAAAUCAUUUCGGCUUAUUGCGCACAAGAACGACUAUUUACAAUUUAAUCACGGUUUUAACAUUUAAACGGAUGCGGGGAGAGAGGUGGUUUUCCGUUUCCCCCAUGCUUUCUACUUUAGCUUCUCGAAGGAGUCCCGUCUUUGAAAUGCCACGAGCACUUUAACACCAUUCACACGUUACCCUUGCCCCGAUAAUGACAAUCAAUUUUUCAUUAGCAUUCCAAAGAUAAAGCCCUAAGGACAGUUUUUGGGGGCCAUUGUAUAACAUAACAUAUGGCAUUUCAUGCUAGUUUGAGAUUCUCUAAUCCUUCUGUGUUGAAUUCUUCAUGACUUUAGCAGGACGGAUGAGCUGUAAAUACUGUAUGAACUGUAGACACCUGAGGGAUAUUUAAAGCAACCUGCUGGACAGGUAAAAGAGAUUAACAUCCACGCAGCAUAGUGUACCUCACCUAUACAUCCACCCUUAUGGAUCAAAUGCACCAUAUCAUAUCUAAAUAUCAAUAAUAAUACAAUUAACACCCUGUCUUUGCACUCAAAGUGUCCACUUAUUUCAUCACGCGUGAAUAUUCACCUUGCAAUCCUACAGGAUUUUGUUCAGCUAGACGUUCUGUUGGCUUGAUUUUGAGUUAUUUAUUGUUCAAUGAGAAUUUAAAUUUAAAUUUUUUAAAGCAGUACAUGCUCUUAAAGUCUCAUUUGUGCAGGUUUGCGUUGCAGCUUUCACCUGCGCUGACUUGAUUCCGCCUUGAGGGAGCAGUAGAGAAGCGUUUUAUAAUGGAAGGCUCCUCUGUGGUUUUACAUAACCUCUCAGUGAUGGCAGAGGAGACACAGUGAUGCAGUGCAGGAAUUAUUAUUUCUUCACAUGCACAAAGGGAAUCAUUGGUUCGUCAUCUAAGGAAAACGGUGCCUAUGGCCUUACAGAACUGUCAGCGACACAUGUCCUCAGGAACAAACAAGGAAAACUCAAUCCAGGCGGUAUACACAUUGUUGCCGUCUCUCAUGCGUAAAUGUAAACUUAAGUUGCUUAGCCUUAAAGAAAUGAUGGUGUGCACUAAAAUAUAACCCAGCAUUUUCUCAGGAGUAUAGGUUUGUUUUAUCAUCUUUGUUUUGAAAGUAAGGUUUAAUUUGUACAUUGAGGUACAUACGUUUUCUUGCUUAAAAAAGG